CGCACCUUGCGCUCUCUGGUAUUCCGGAGAGCAUGCCUGUUUGAGUGUCAUGAACUCUUCAACCCCCCAAUUCCUUGUUUGAACUGGGACGGCUUGGAUUCUGAGCGUUUGCUGGCCUUUUCGGAGGCGGAGCUCGUUCGUAAUACAUUAGCAACUCAAUUUCGAGUGUUCGGAUUGACUCGGCGUAAUAGACUAUUCGCUGAGGACUACCUUUCGGGGUGGCCGAACCUUGAAGUAGAAGCUCAUAACUCUACAUUUGAAAGUCAAAUCACCUAAGAUUAGACCUCAGAUCAGGCAGGAUUACCCGCUGAACUUAA
RNAcentral lists this unclassified non-coding RNA (317 nucleotides) under Rhodotorula sp. RNAcentral describes it as "partial contains 5.8S ribosomal RNA, internal transcribed spacer 2, and large subunit ribosomal RNA". The record is from RNAcentral. Lineage: Eukaryota; Fungi; Basidiomycota; Microbotryomycetes; Sporidiobolales; Sporidiobolaceae.